This 437-nucleotide ribosomal RNA is filed under the name uncultured bacterium. Its description in RNAcentral is "bacterial SSU rRNA". It matches the Rfam family "Bacterial small subunit ribosomal RNA", at positions 958 to 1392 of the family's 1533-position model. The record is from RNAcentral.
AACGCGAAGAACCUUACCUGGGCUAGAAUGCAUAUUGACCGUGGGUGAAAGCUCACUUUGUAGCAAUACACAAUUUGUAAGGUGCUGCAUGGCUGUCGUCAGCUCGUGCCGUGAGGUGUUGGGUUAAGUCCCGCAACGAGCGCAACCCCCAUCAUUAGUUGCCAUCAGGUAAAGCUGGGAACUCUAAUGAAACUGCCGUCGUAAGACGCGAGGAAGGAGGGGAUGAUGUCAAGUCAUCAUGGCCUUUAUGCCCAGGGCUACACACGUGCUACAAUGGAAGGGACAAAGAGCUGCCACUUGGCGACAAGGCGCUAAUCUCAAAAACCCUUUCUCAGUUCAGAUCGCAGUCUGCAACUCGACUGCGUGAAGCUGGAAUCGCUAGUAAUCGUAUAUCAGCAAUGAUACGGUGAAUACGUUCCCGGGCCUUGUACACACCG